This 464-nucleotide ribosomal RNA is filed under the name uncultured Geobacteraceae bacterium. RNAcentral's name for it is "partial 16S ribosomal RNA". It matches the Rfam family "Bacterial small subunit ribosomal RNA", at positions 338 to 794 of the family's 1533-position model. Lineage: Bacteria; Pseudomonadati; Thermodesulfobacteriota; Desulfuromonadia; Geobacterales; Geobacteraceae. The record is from RNAcentral.
CCUACGGGAGGCAGCAGUGGGGAAUUUUGCGCAAUGGGGGCAACCCUGACGCAGCAACGCCGCGUGAGUGAUGAAGGCCUUCGGGUCGUAAAGCUCUGUCAGAAGGGAAGAAAUGCAGGUGGUGAAUAACCAUUCUGUUUGACGGUACCCUCAAAGGAAGCACCGGCUAACUCCGUGCCAGCAGCCGCGGUAAUACGGAGGGUGCGAGCGUUGUUCGGAAUUAUUGGGCGUAAAGCGCGUUUAGGCGGUUUGUUAAGUCUGAUGGAAAAGCCCCGGGCUCAACCUGGGAAGGGCAUUGGAUACUGGCAGACUCGAGGACGGGAGAGGAGAGUGGAAUUCCCAGUGUAGGAGUAAAAUCCGUAGAUAUUGGGAGGAACACCGGUGGCGAAGGCGGCUCUCUGGACCGAUACUGACGCUGAGACGCGAAAGCGUGGGGAGCAAACAGGAUUAGAUCCCCCUGUAGU